CCUACGGGUGGCAGCAGUGAGGAAUAUUGGUCAAUGGACGAGAGUCUGAACCAGCCAAGUAGCGUGAAGGAUGACUGCCCUAUGGGUUGUAAACUUCUUUUAUAUGGGAAUAAAACGUUCCACGUGUGGGAUUUUGUAUGUACCAUAUGAAUAAGGAUCGGCUCACUCCGUGCCAGCAGCCGCGGUAAUACGGAGGAUCCGAGCGUUAUCCGGAUUUAUUGGGUUUAAAGGGAGCGUAGGUGGAUUGUUAAGUCAGUUGUGAAAGUUUGCGGCUCAACCGUAAAAGUGCAGUUGAAACUGGCAGUCUUGAGUACAGUAGAGGUGGGCGGAAUUCGUGGUGUAGCGGUGAAAUGCUUAGAUAUCACGAAGAACUCCGAUUGCGAAGGCAGUUCACUGGACUGCAACUGACACUGAGGCUCGAAAGUGUGGGUAUCAAACAGGAUUAGAUACCCCAGUAGUC
This 460-nucleotide ribosomal RNA is filed under the name uncultured bacterium. RNAcentral's name for it is "partial 16S ribosomal RNA". It matches the Rfam family "Bacterial small subunit ribosomal RNA", at positions 338 to 795 of the family's 1533-position model. The record is from RNAcentral.